AUACGUAGGGAGCGAGCGUUGUCCGGAAUUACUGGGCGUAAAGGGCGCGUAGGCGGGUAUUUAAGUCAGAUGUGAAAACUCCGGGCUCAACCUGGAGACUGCAUUUGAAACUGAGUAUCUUGAGGGCAGGAGAGGAAAGUGGAAUUCCUAGUGUAGCGGUGAAAUGCGUAGAUAUUAGGAGGAACACCAGUGGCGAAGGCGACUUUCUGGACUGUACCUGACGCUGAGGCGCGAAAGCGUGGGGAGC
RNAcentral lists this ribosomal RNA (247 nucleotides) under uncultured bacterium. RNAcentral's name for it is "partial 16S ribosomal RNA". It matches the Rfam family "Bacterial small subunit ribosomal RNA", at positions 523 to 769 of the family's 1533-position model. The record is from RNAcentral.